AGAAUGAACGCUAGCGAUAUGCUUAACACAUGCAAGUUGAACGUUGUUUUCGAAUCAGAAUGAGAACAAAGUAGCGAACGGGUGCGUAACACGUGGGAAUCUGCCGAACAGUUUGGGCCAAAUCCCGAAUGAAUAAAAGCUAAAAAGCGCUGUUUGAUGAGCCCACGUAGUAUUAGGUAGUUGGUUAGGUAAAAGCUGACCAAGCCUACGAUGCUUAGCUGGUCUUUUCGGAUGAUCAGCCACACUGGGACUGAGACACGGCCCAGACUCCUACGGGAGGCAGCAGUGGGGAAUCUUGGACAAUGGGUGAAAGCCUGAUCCGGCAAUAUGGCGUGAGUGAAGAAGGGCAACGCAGCUUGUAAAGCUCUUUCAUCGAGUGUGCGAUUGGUGACAAGACUACGAAUAAGAACGCCCCGGCUAACCUCCGCGCCAGCAGCCGC
This 440-nucleotide ribosomal RNA is filed under the name uncultured bacterium. RNAcentral describes it as "SSU rRNA". It matches the Rfam family "Bacterial small subunit ribosomal RNA", at positions 26 to 518 of the family's 1533-position model. The record is from RNAcentral.